GUUAGCAGUCACACAGGCAGGGCUCGUCAGCCCGUGAACGUUUUUCAGUGACCAAAGAUAGCGAAUCCGGUUGCUCACGCGAGCGACUACUCCAAUCGCUAACGAGCCCGACAGCAGGCCAUUUGUCCACGGUCGUUACAACCUUAGAAAAUGUUCUUUCCUGGCUUUAUAUUGCACAACAUUCCUUGUAUACUGUUGGAGAUGGCGCGGCCUCGUAGUCCUAGCCCGCCGGGCUCAGUGGUGGCUAACAGCGUCCAGUCUUGUCUUGUCUUGUCUUGUCUUGUGUCCCAGACAGUGGUGCGUACCCACUAUGGGGGAUUGGCCAAGAAGCGUCCAGUCACGGGGUUCGCCCUUUCUUCCUCGUCUUCCUUUCUAGCACCAGCUUCGGUGUCGCGGAAUCCGGCGGCAGUUCCCACAAUACUAAACAGUGGCCAGGUUUGAUUUGAUAUUUCAUCACCACUUUCUUUCUGAAUCCCUCAAUGGCCUCGAAUGCAAGGAAAUCAAAUGAAAUAUGCGUCUAAGCCUUCGGCCUGCUGGCGGAUGCUUUCCGUUGACUAGGCCUGCGCACUUCUAACGGUGUUUCAUUUCUUUUUUUUUUUUUUUUUUGUAGUAAUGAUAAUUGUGCUUCCAUCAUUUCUCUCCAGAAUGUCACCGAGUGCCAGAGGGCCAAACUUUGGGCAAUGUGGGGGGACUAUCCUUUGCUCUCCAUGGAAAAGAAGAAGAUAAUUGAGAAAAUGAUUGAUUGCGGACUGACUAACCUUAAGGACGUGAGGGUUGGAUGGCUUCUAAUUGAUUACGG
Molecule: long non-coding RNA, 799 nt
Organism: Dermacentor andersoni
Lineage: Eukaryota; Metazoa; Arthropoda; Arachnida; Ixodida; Ixodidae
Source: RefSeq, a predicted model, not a curated record